UUCACACCGUCAUCCCACACUUGAAGAGCCGCCAUAUUCUUCUCAUCUCCGAUCCAUGAUUCAAGCUUCAUUCCGUUUUCUUAAUCUUUUCUCAAACCCCAAUUCCGUUAGUUGAUUAUUCGAGAUGGGUUUUUCACUUCAUCUUCUUUAGGGUUUGUUCACUGUUUGUUCUUGAUUAAUCGACCAAUCUGUUAACUGAUUGAUGGAGAAGAUGAUUACAGAUUAGUGGGAUGAUGAAGACGAUCGGAACAUGAUGAUCGGAUCGUCGUCCAGUGAUGGGAAGAUGGUGAUAAAACUCAAGAUUCCGAAGCUUUCAGAUGAAGCUGUAACGGAAGAUGAAGAAUCUUCAGUGAUCUUAGGUUACACCGAUCAGGAUCUGGUUUCCACAGACUUUGUGGGAGACAACAGGUUGGAAUUAUUCACUUUGAGCUAAAAGAAUGGAUUUAACAAACUAGGACGCUCAAUUCUUGCAAACGAGGCUAUUAAAAUGGUAUUUCUGGUACAGAAAGAAGAAGAAAAAAAGUGAAGUUAUUGACAUUGAGGUCACACUUCAAAGGAUCCAAUUGAAAUGCAGGGAUGUCUGCUCUUUGAGGGUUAAGGUUUGAUCCUAUAUUGCAGUCACGUUCGUGUUAAAAAAUAUAACAGCAUUGUCGCCUGCUGAAUCGCCUUACACAAGUGGCAUAGUUCCAGGUAGUUAAAGAGUUUCUUCACCAAGCUGCUGAUCUUACAUUGAUACCAUCAGCUGCUAUUGCAAAGGAUCUUCAACAAUACAAAGUUGCAGCAUAAAUGGUGAACCUGAUCGACCAUUGAUCGUACAUGUUGGGCGUAUUGGAGUCGAGAAAAAAUUGGGUUUCCAUAAAAGGAAUUGAAGAGCAAACAAUUAAAGCUGAAGACGUAUUCAAGGCGCUUGAAGAGAUCGAGUUUCCAGAAUUCAUUGCACCACUAAGAGCCUCUCUUGAAGAGUUCAAGCAAAAGAAUGCUAAAAGAAAAUCUAAUUCAUCCAAAGCAAAGGAAGCCAAAAAUAGCAAAACAGAGGAGGAGCCUGUAACGGAGAACGGAGAAUCGUUGGAGAACAGAGAAUCACACGAAAAUGGUGAUGAAGAUGGGAUCACAGCCGACAUGUUUCGGUUGUGAGCCGACAUGUUUUCACAAUUAAUCGGUGCCGUUGGCGAUGGAUUUUCAAAUUAAGUCGGGUCACUAGAUUAGGUGAUUUACUUUUUAUUUUUUCUUAAAUCAUUGAGAGAUUAGUUGUAUAUUUCUUUUUAUACAUGUACCAAAAUAAAAGAUGACAACAAGAUGAUCCAAGGAGUGGGUGUGGAGUCUCUUUCUGAAGAGGAGCUUCAUCAAGCAUGUUGGGAUCGUGGCUUACUUGGAUUGUGCUCGGUUGAUGAAAUGAAGCAACAGAUUCGUGAUUGGUUGGACUUCUCCCUUAACCAUUCAGUACCAUCUUUGUUAGGAUUCUCACACCGAUACUUUUGAGGCUAGCCAACAUAAGAAGCUAGCGGAAAAAAAGGAUGCUGGUGAUUAUCACUCUCGGAAGCUUUGGGGCAAUUACUCAGAAGAGUGUGAAUUAUAGACAGGCUGAUUAGCAUGUUCAACAGUUCAAGGGUAGCAAUUCCAGUUGUCUCAGUUUAGAAACAAAGCAAGGCUGAAAACGAUACAAGAUGAUGAUCAAAUGACGAACGACUCUCCAAAGGUACGUUUCAGAUAGGAAGUAGAAAGUUCGACAUUUCCGUCCACAUUAUUGGUUUCUUCACCAGUAAGAACGUCAUUGUGAAUUUUGAUAAAACACCUGUUGGAGGUGAACAACGUAAGAAAGUGACGCGAUAGAUUACUUAUAGUGUGGAUUUGAAGUGUGGGAUCAGCAAUCCAGCUCAAAAGGCUUAUCUUUCCAAGUUUCCGGGUUGAUCAGUUUGAAAUUGUUUAAUGUUUUAUAUCAUCUAACACUAAGAUUGAUUCAUAUACCAUUAAAGAUGCUUAGAGAUGUUGUAUGGGGUGUUUAAUGAAUUGUAACUUUUGGUGCAAAUAUCAAUUCUGGUGAUGUACAAAUCAAAUUGAAAAUUAAAAGUUUGAGGUUUGGAUUGGAUUGGAUU
Molecule: long non-coding RNA, 2093 nt
Organism: Helianthus annuus (common sunflower)
Lineage: Eukaryota; Viridiplantae; Streptophyta; Magnoliopsida; Asterales; Asteraceae
Exons: 11
Source: RefSeq, a predicted model, not a curated record